GGUGGCUCAGUGGUAGAGAGCUUGCCUUGCAUGCAGGAGGCCCUGGGUUCGAUUCCUCAGCACCA
RNAcentral lists this transfer RNA (65 nucleotides) under Dipodomys ordii (Ord's kangaroo rat). It matches the Rfam family "tRNA". Rfam says of the family: Transfer RNA (tRNA) molecules are approximately 80 nucleotides in length. Their secondary structure includes four short double-helical elements and three loops (D, anti-codon, and T loops). Lineage: Eukaryota; Metazoa; Chordata; Mammalia; Rodentia; Heteromyidae. The record is from Rfam by way of RNAcentral.